GCAAGUCGAACGAAAUCCUUCGGGAUUUAGUGGCGGACGGGUGAGUAACACGUGAGAAUCUGGCUUCUGGAUGGGGACAACAGUGGGAAACCGCUGCUAAUACCCAAUGCUCCGCCAGGUAAAAGAUGUAUCGCCAGAAGAUGAGCUCGCGUCCGAUUAGUUAGUUGGUGGGGUAACAGCCUACCAAGACAGCGAUAGGUAGCUGGUCUGAGAGGAGGAGC
This 221-nucleotide ribosomal RNA is filed under the name uncultured bacterium. RNAcentral's name for it is "partial 16S ribosomal RNA". It matches the Rfam family "Bacterial small subunit ribosomal RNA", at positions 57 to 305 of the family's 1533-position model. The record is from RNAcentral.